UGCGUAGGCGGUUUAUUAAGUCAGUGGUGAAAGACGGUCGCUCAACGAUUGCAGUGCCAUUGAUACUGGUAGACUUGAGUGUGAUUGAGGUAGCUGGAAUGGAUAGUGUAGCGGUGAAAUGCAUAGAUAUUAUCCAGAACACCGAUUGCGAAGGCGGCUUGCUGGACGAUAACUGACGCUGAGGCGCGAAAGUGUGGGGAGCAAACAGGAUUAGAUACCCUAGUA
This 225-nucleotide ribosomal RNA is filed under the name uncultured Flectobacillus sp. RNAcentral's name for it is "partial 16S ribosomal RNA". It matches the Rfam family "Bacterial small subunit ribosomal RNA", at positions 568 to 792 of the family's 1533-position model. The record is from RNAcentral. Lineage: Bacteria; Pseudomonadati; Bacteroidota; Cytophagia; Cytophagales; Flectobacillaceae.